Molecule: long non-coding RNA, 1676 nt
Organism: Poecilia latipinna (sailfin molly)
Lineage: Eukaryota; Metazoa; Chordata; Actinopteri; Cyprinodontiformes; Poeciliidae
Exons: 3
Source: RefSeq, a predicted model, not a curated record
AACAGCAAAAGAAGAGCAGCCUACGCAAAGAACAAUUACCACAGCGACCUGUCUUGGCUUCUUCGUGAUAGAUCCUGGAGCUCCUUUGAGCUGAUUCACACGAGGACGAGUAGCAGAGGCUCCGUGGUUGGAGAUGAACUCCACGGACAUCAAAGCCGCUUCUACAGCAGCGCCACAAGGAGAGUUUAGAGUCUGGAGCAAUUAAUGCUGGCACACAGAGACGUCUCUGUCCAAAGCUGCUGGGAGAGAACAGGGGCUUUGGUGGAAAUACAUAUCCCACCUGUGGGGUGGUGCGGUGAUUAGUGCUAUCACCUCACAGCAAGAAGUUCCCUGCUUCAGACCUCGGCUUCAGCACAGCACUUCAAUCAAAACAGGAUGCAAAACAGAAGCCAUUUUCCCAUUGUGUGGACGUUCCGGGAUGGCAGGAGAUCUCCAUGUAUAUGACCUGAAAUUGCGCGCCGCUGGAGGGAACCCAGCAUUCCUCCUCCUUUUACGUCCUCAUCCCCUCUUCCAGGCCCGGUGACAGACCACAGAGCACAGCGGCAGGAAGUGGAGCAGAGAAACGACGGAGCGCAGCGUGUGACUGGUAUUAAACGCGUACAGCACACGCACUUCUGCAGCAAUACAACAAAACCAUCAGGAAGCUCCGUUUGUUUUAUAACCUGUCGUCCCCUGAGAGGCUUUUCCACAUUACUCACCCCUGAUUAUUCCACACAUGUCUCAGACCUACAAGGCUGCCGUGGUAAAAGUCUGCUCAUAUUUUUAGCAUUUGAUUUCACCUCUUCCUGUCUGCAUCAAUCAAAGCCCAGUGUGCCGUCGGAGCGCUGUUGUGCCUUCACAUUUUGAUGAGCAGCAUGAAAGUGACUGGGAAAGGAGAGCGUCUCCCAUGGAAAUGAACAAACGGUCCACAGUCGGACUCUUAACUUUCAUAAAAGAGACUUUUACGUUAAACCCUUUCCGUAAAACCUGUUUGCAGUUCUUGAAUGUCCUGUCAACCAUUAUUUCCGUGAGAUCUGAGACUGUGAGGAUGCAGUUUGUGCUUUUAGCUCGUAGAUGAAAUGCACAGUGCAGUGAAUUUUAUUUGACCGACACAAAGCAGUGCUUCGUUGUAAAGGGUAAAGAAAAAUUACACGUGAUGUUUGAAUUUUUUACAAAUAAAAUACAGUAUGUACAUCCUCCAAGACUUUACAGAACCAUCUUUCCAUUCUAUUGUGUGUUGAGACUGAUGUGUUGCGUUUCCCUUCAUGUAAAGCUUUGUGCAUGGAGGCCAGAAAGUCCUAUUUUGAUCUCUUUCAACCAGAGCUCCUUUUUUCACACAUUUUCUGUGCAAGUAAGCAGAAGUUCCUAUGGUUGUCAUUCAAUAAAUCUACCUGCCACUCAUUAAUAAAAGCCAUAUUUAGAGAGCGUGCAUCAGUCUGCUUGAUAUUCUUGCUAUGUGUUGAGAGACGAUCCCGCUGUGGUUCUCUCCGUCUCCUUCAAUGUCACCGUUGGCCUCUUCACUGCUUGUCCGAUUAUUGUGCUCCAGCUUCAGUUUAGAUUUUCACAAAGUCUUACACUUCUAAUUAAGUAGAAAAGUUGAUUUGGUUCUGAAUUUUGUGCCACUUUAGUUUCAUUUCAAUAGGGCCUUUCGUUUUAAUCAGCAUCUGUUGGGGCCUUUUUUUUCUCACAUUGUUGUG